CCGGCGCACGGGUGAGUAACGCGUAUGCAACCUACCUACUACUUUGGCAUAGCUCGUUGAAAGACGAAUUAAUACCUUAUAAUACAGGGGCUCCGCAUGGAGAUAUUUGUUAAAGAUUUAUCGGUAGUAGAUGGGCGUGCGUUCCAUUAGUUAGUUGGUGAGGUAACGGCUCACCAAGGCAACGAUGGAUAGGGGAACUGAGAGGUUUGUCCCCCACACUGGAACUGAGACACGGUCCAGACUCCUACGGGAGGCAGCAGUGAGGAAUAUUGGUCAAUGGAGGCAACUCUGAACCAGCCAAGUCGCGUGAAGGAUGACUGCCCUACGGGUUGUAAACUUCUUUUUUAAGGGAAUAAAGUGAGCCACGUGUGGCUUUUUGCAUGUACCUUACGAAUAAGGAUCGGCUAACUCCGUGCCAGCAGCCGCGGUAAUACGGAGGAUCCGAGCGUUAUCCGGAUUUAUUGGGUUUAAAGGGUGCGCAGGCGGAAUAUUAAGUCGGCGGUGAAAGUUUGCA
This 514-nucleotide ribosomal RNA is filed under the name uncultured bacterium. Its description in RNAcentral is "bacterial SSU rRNA". It matches the Rfam family "Bacterial small subunit ribosomal RNA", at positions 95 to 606 of the family's 1533-position model. The record is from RNAcentral.